This 346-nucleotide transfer-messenger RNA is filed under the name Treponema sp. It matches the Rfam family "transfer-messenger RNA". From Rfam's summary of the family: Bacterial tmRNA, also known as 10Sa RNA or SsrA, is named for its dual tRNA and mRNA-like properties. Its role is to liberate the mRNA from a stalled ribosome. To accomplish this part of the tmRNA is used as a reading frame that ends in a translation stop signal. Lineage: Bacteria; Pseudomonadati; Spirochaetota; Spirochaetia; Treponematales; Treponemataceae. The record is from RNAcentral.
GGGGGUGCACCGGUUUCGACUGGUACGACCCGGGGUGUAGGUUGCAGAUGGAGCGCUCAUCUCCUGAUUGGGCAAAAAUUUAACUGCCAACAACGACAGUUACGCUUACGCCUUAGCAGCGUAAACGCGUGGGACUGUUCCGCCGUCUUGAGGGGCAAAUCCCGCGUCGCAAUCAGGGCUGGUCUUGCCGCAGCGUCCGGUAGCGGCAUGAUGAGAUUUUCCGGAAUACGGACAGGCCGCGCGCCGUUUAGCCAAGUCUGUCCCUACAAUAUAAUAAACGGCUAAAUCUGUAGAUACCUAUAUUUCGCGUAUUGGGACGCGGGUUCGACUCCCGCCACCUCCAAAA